CGAACGAGUGGAACUUGGUCUGCUAGUGGCAAACGGGCGAGUAAUACAUAUUUAACUUACUUUUACGAGGAGGAUAGCAGUUCGAAAGGACUAUUAAUACUCCAUAGGUUUAUAAACGAAAUCAAAGAGGUUCCCUCGGGGGCCUCGCGUGAAAAUAGGAAUAUGUCCUAUUAGGUAGGUGGCGGGGUAAAGGCCCACCAAGCCAGUGAUGGGGAUCGGGGCUGAUAGGUUGAACAGCCUACAUGGGAUUGAGAUAUGGCCCAUAUUCCUACGGGAAGCAACGGUGAGGAUUUUUUCACAAUGGACAAAAGUCUGAUGGAUCAAUACCACGUGAACGAUGAAUGUCUUCUGAUUGUAAAGUUCUUUUAUUUAUGAAAAAAAGCGCGCUAGGAAAUGAGCACGCCUUGAUGGUACUA
RNAcentral lists this ribosomal RNA (416 nucleotides) under Mycoplasma wenyonii. Its description in RNAcentral is "bacterial SSU rRNA". It matches the Rfam family "Bacterial small subunit ribosomal RNA", at positions 63 to 480 of the family's 1533-position model. Lineage: Bacteria; Bacillati; Mycoplasmatota; Mollicutes; Mycoplasmatales; Mycoplasmataceae. The record is from RNAcentral.